RNAcentral lists this ribosomal RNA (135 nucleotides) under uncultured bacterium. RNAcentral's name for it is "partial 16S ribosomal RNA". It matches the Rfam family "Bacterial small subunit ribosomal RNA", at positions 355 to 491 of the family's 1533-position model. The record is from RNAcentral.
UGGGGAAUAUUGCACAAUGGGCGCAAGCCUGAUGCAGCGACGCCGCGUGCGGGAUGGAGGCCUUCGGGUUGUAAACCGCUUUGUUCAAGGGCAAGGCACGGCUUCGGGCCGUGUUGAGUGGAUUGGUUUCGAACU